UGUAUCGGCUGAUAGCUGCAAAUUGCAGAGGAAAGUCCGUGCUAGCACCGGCUGAGAUGUCGGUAGUGUUCAUGUUAAGCCAAAUAAGCUUAAGCCUAGACGACUAGUGCCACAGAGACGAGAAUUGUGAAACGCGGUAAACUCCAUGAGCUAGAAACCCAAAUUUGGUAGGGGAACCUUGAAUAGAAAAUGAACGAUUUUGAGGAACAUAUUUUUGUAUGUUAGAUAAAUUAUCAGCACAUUUAAAAUGUACAGAACACGGCUUACAGAU
RNAcentral lists this RNase P RNA (271 nucleotides) under Mycoplasmopsis canis PG 14. Its description in RNAcentral is "Mycoplasma canis PG 14 RNase P RNA component class B". It matches the Rfam family "Bacterial RNase P class B". From Rfam's summary of the family: Ribonuclease P (RNase P) is a ubiquitous endoribonuclease, found in archaea, bacteria and eukarya as well as chloroplasts and mitochondria. Its best characterised activity is the generation of mature 5'-ends of tRNAs by cleaving the 5'-leader elements of precursor-tRNAs. Cellular RNase Ps are ribonucleoproteins. The record is from RNAcentral. Lineage: Bacteria; Bacillati; Mycoplasmatota; Mycoplasmoidales; Metamycoplasmataceae.